RNAcentral lists this transfer RNA (70 nucleotides) under Podarcis lilfordi (Lilford's wall lizard). It matches the Rfam family "tRNA". Rfam says of the family: Transfer RNA (tRNA) molecules are approximately 80 nucleotides in length. Their secondary structure includes four short double-helical elements and three loops (D, anti-codon, and T loops). The record is from Rfam by way of RNAcentral. Lineage: Eukaryota; Metazoa; Chordata; Lepidosauria; Squamata; Lacertidae.
GGGGAUAGCUCACUAGAGGAGCAUCUGCCUUGCAUUCAGAAGGUCCCAGGUUCAAUCUCUGGCAUCUCCA